GACGUAGGGGGCGAGCGUUGUCCGGAAUUACUGGGCGUAAAGAGCACGUAGGCGGGAACCUAAGUCAGGUGUGAAAGACCGUGGCUCAACCACGGGGUGGCAUUUGAAACUGGGUUUCUUGAGGGCAGGAGAGGAAAGCAGAAUUCCUGGUGUAGCGGUGAAAUGCGUAGAAAUCAGGAGGAAUACCAGUGGCGAAGGCGGCUUUCUGGACUGACCCUGACGCUGAGGUGCGAAAGCGUGGGUAGCAAACAGGAUUAGAUACUCUGGUAGUCCCUGA
RNAcentral lists this ribosomal RNA (277 nucleotides) under uncultured prokaryote. RNAcentral's name for it is "partial 16S ribosomal RNA". It matches the Rfam family "Bacterial small subunit ribosomal RNA", at positions 524 to 800 of the family's 1533-position model. The record is from RNAcentral.